UAAGGUAUUUUACUUUUAUUAGAAAA
Molecule: transfer RNA, 26 nt
Filed under: Drosophila malerkotliana
Lineage: Eukaryota; Metazoa; Arthropoda; Insecta; Diptera; Drosophilidae
Also listed under: 1 other name
Description: partial tRNA-Leu
Source: RNAcentral